CUACGGGUCGCUCCAGUGAGGAAUAUUGCACAAUGGGGGGAACCCUGAUGCAGCAACGCCGCGUGGAGGAUGACGCAUUUCGGUGUGUAAACUCCUUUUAUGAGUCAAGAAAAUGACGGUAGCUCAUGAAUAAGCACCGGCUAACUCCGUGCCAGCAGCCGCGGUAAUACGGAGGGUGCAAGCGUUACUCGGAAUCACUGGGCGUAAAGGACGCGUAGGCGGGUUGGUAAGUCAGGUGUGAAAUCCUACAGCUUAACUGUAGAACUGCACUUGAAACUACCAAUCUAGAGUAUGGGAGGGGGAGAUGGAAUUAGUGGUGUAGGGGUAAAAUCCGUAGAUAUCACUAGGAAUACCUAAAGCGAAGGCGAUCUCCUGGAACAUUACUGACGCUAAGGCGUGAAAGCGUGGGGAGCAAACAGGAUUAGAUACCCCCGUAGUC
Molecule: ribosomal RNA, 439 nt
Filed under: uncultured bacterium
Lineage: Bacteria
Description: partial 16S ribosomal RNA
Rfam family: Bacterial small subunit ribosomal RNA
Source: RNAcentral